RNAcentral lists this ribosomal RNA (537 nucleotides) under uncultured Acidobacteriota bacterium. Its description in RNAcentral is "bacterial SSU rRNA". It matches the Rfam family "Bacterial small subunit ribosomal RNA", at positions 8 to 524 of the family's 1533-position model. The record is from RNAcentral. Lineage: Bacteria; Pseudomonadati; Acidobacteriota.
AGAGUUUGAUCGUGGCUCAGAAUCAACGCUGGCGGCGUGCCUAACACAUGCAAGUCGAACGCGAAAGUCCCGCAAGGGAUAAGUAGAGUGGCAAACGGGUGAGUAACGCGUGGGUGACCUACCUUCGAGCGGGGGAUAACGUUUCGAAAGGAACGCUAAUACCGCAUAACAUCCUGCCUUUGAACAGGCGGAGAUCAAAGCCGGGGAUCGCAAGACCUGGCACUCGGAGAGGGGCCCGCGUCCGAUUAGCUAGUUGGUGGGGUAAUGGCUCACCAAGGCAACGAUCGGUAGCCGGCCUGAGAGGGCGGACGGCCACACUGGGACUGAGACACGGCCCAGACUCCUACGGGAGGCAGCAGUGGGGAAUUGUUCGCAAUGGGCGCAAGCCUGACGACGCAACGCCGCGUGGAGGAUGAAGAUCUUCGGGUCGUAAACUCCUGUCGAAUGGGACGAACGGAUCGCGGGGUAAUAUCCCGUGGUCGUGACGGUACCGUUAAAGGAAACCCCGGCUAACUCCGUGCCAGCAGCCGCCGUAAU